Molecule: ribosomal RNA, 1372 nt
Filed under: uncultured bacterium
Lineage: Bacteria
Description: bacterial SSU rRNA
Rfam family: Bacterial small subunit ribosomal RNA
Source: RNAcentral
GAUGAACGCUGGCGGCGUGCCUAAUACAUGCAAGUCGAGCGAACGGACGAGAAGCUUGCUUCUCUGAUGUUAGCGGCGGACGGGUGAGUAACACGUGGAUAACCUACCUAUAAGACUGGGAUAACUUCGGGAAACCGGAGCUAAUACCGGAUAAUAUUUUGAACCGCAUGGUUCAAAAGUGAAAGACGGUCUUGCUGUCACUUAUAGAUGGAUCCGCGCUGCAUUAGCUAGUUGGUAAGGUAACGGCUUACCAAGGCAACGAUGCAUAGCCGACCUGAGAGGGUGAUCGGCCACACUGGAACUGAGACACGGUCCAGACUCCUACGGGAGGCAGCAGUAGGGAAUCUUCCGCAAUGGGCGAAAGCCUGACGGAGCAACGCCGCGUGAGUGAUGAAGGUCUUCGGAUCGUAAAACUCUGUUAUUAGGGAAGAACAUAUGUGUAAGUAACUGUGCACAUCUUGACGGUACCUAAUCAGAAAGCCACGGCUAACUACGUGCCAGCAGCCGCGGUAAUACGUAGGUGGCAAGCGUUAUCCGGAAUUAUUGGGCGUAAAGCGCGCGUAGGCGGUUUUUUAAGUCUGAUGUGAAAGCCCACGGCUCAACCGUGGAGGGUCAUUGGAAACUGGAAAACUUGAGUGCAGAAGAGGAAAGUGGAAUUCCAUGUGUAGCGGUGAAAUGCGCAGAGAUAUGGAGGAACACCAGUGGCGAAGGCGACUUUCUGGUCUGUAACUGACGCUGAUGUGCGAAAGCGUGGGGAUCAAACAGGAUUAGAUACCCUGGUAGUCCACGCCGUAAUCGAUGAGUGCUAAGUGUUAGGGGGUUUCCGCCCCUUAGUGCUGCAGCUAACGCAUUAAGCACUCCGCCUGGGGAGUACGACCGCAAGGUUGAAACUCAAAGGAAUUGACGGGGACCCGCACAAGCGGUGGGGCAUGUGGUUUAAUUCGAAGCAACGCGAAGAACCUUACCAAAUCUUGACAUCCUUUGACAACUCUAGAGAUAGAGCCUUCCCCUUCGGGGGACAAAGUGACAGGUGGUGCAUGGUUGUCGUCAGCUCGUGUCGUGAGAUGUUGGGUUAAGUCCCGCAACGAGCGCAACCCUUAAGCUUAGUUGCCAUCAUUAAGUUGGGCACUCUAAGUUGACUGCCGGUGACAAACCGGAGGAAGGUGGGGAUGACGUCAAAUCAUCAUGCCCCUUAUGAUUUGGGCUACACACGUGCUACAAUGGACAAUACAAAGGGCAGCGAAACCGCGAGGUCAAGCAAAUCCCAUAAAGUUGUUCUCAGUUCGGAUUGUAGUCUGCAACUCGACUACAUGAAGCUGGAAUCGCUAGUAAUCGUAGAUCAGCAUGCUACGGUGAAUACGUUCCCGGGUCU